GCAAACUUGGUCAUUUAGAGGAAGUAAAAGUCGUAACAAGGUUUCCGUAGGUGAACCUGCGGAAGGAUCAUUAAAAAGAUCGACCUCUUCUUGAUAUGGACGAUCGAAUCCAUAUCCACCUUGUGUGCACCGACUGACCGUUCGCUUUGGCAGGAGGAGUCUUGGAAUAUGAUUUUCCAAGCGAGGUUCUUUUUUUUUAAAAAGAACCUUGGCCUGCCAGAGUUUUUAUUUUUUUAAAAGACGCUUCUUCAUCUUCCAAAGAAUGAAACCUUCCAUCUCGAUUCUCUGUAAUCGAUUGAACCAAAUACAACUUUCAACAACGGAUCUCUUGGCUCUCGCAUCGAUGAAGAACGCAGC
Molecule: unclassified non-coding RNA, 357 nt
Filed under: uncultured fungus
Lineage: Eukaryota; Fungi
Description: partial contains small subunit ribosomal RNA, internal transcribed spacer 1, and 5.8S ribosomal RNA
Rfam family: Eukaryotic small subunit ribosomal RNA (bases 1-73)
Source: RNAcentral